UACGUAGGGGGCAAGCGUUGUCCGGAUUUAUUGGGCGUAAAGGGUGCGUAGGCGGCUGUGUAAGUCUGGCGUGAAAGCCCCGGGCUCAGCCCGGGAAGUGCGCUCGAAACUGCGCGGCUCGAGUGCCGGAGGGGAGAGUGGAAUUCCUGGUGUAGCGGUGAAAUGCGUAGAUAUCAGGAGGAAUACCGGUGGCGAAAGCGACCCUCUGGACGGCAACUGACGCUGAGGCACGAAAGCGUGGGGAGCAAACAGG
RNAcentral lists this ribosomal RNA (253 nucleotides) under uncultured bacterium. RNAcentral's name for it is "partial 16S ribosomal RNA". It matches the Rfam family "Bacterial small subunit ribosomal RNA", at positions 524 to 776 of the family's 1533-position model. The record is from RNAcentral.